GAUGAAGAACGCAGCGAAAUGCGAUAAGUAAUGUGAAUUGCAGAAUUCAGUGAAUCAUCGAAUCUUUGAACGCACCUUGCGCCCUUUGGCCAUUCCGAAGGGCAUGCCUGUUUGAGUAUCAUGAACACCUCAACUCUUCAUGGUUUUCCGUGAUGAGCUUGGACUUUGGGGGUCUUGCUGGCCUAUGGUCAGCUCCUCUAAAAUAAAUCAGCUUGCCAGUGUUUGGUGGGUAUCACAGGUGUGAUAACAAUCUACGCUUGUGGUUUUCCACCAGGUAACCUUCAGCAGUGGAGGUUCGCUGGAGCUCACAGAUGUGUCUCUCCUCAGUGAGGACAGCUCUUUGAAUGUUUGAUCUCAAAUCAGGUAGGACUACCCGCUGAACUUAAGCAUAUCAAUAAGCGGAGGA
This 406-nucleotide unclassified non-coding RNA is filed under the name soil metagenome. RNAcentral describes it as "partial contains 5.8S ribosomal RNA, internal transcribed spacer 2, and large subunit ribosomal RNA". The stretch from base 1 to 121 matches the Rfam family "5.8S ribosomal RNA", at positions 35 to 154 of the family's 154-position model. The record is from RNAcentral.